UUGAGAGUUUGAUCCUGGCUCAGAACGAACGCUGGCGGCAGGCUUAACACAUGCAAGUCGAGCGGUA
This 67-nucleotide ribosomal RNA is filed under the name Pseudo-nitzschia fraudulenta. RNAcentral describes it as "partial Bacterial small subunit ribosomal RNA". The record is from RNAcentral. Lineage: Eukaryota; Bacillariophyta; Bacillariophyceae; Bacillariales; Bacillariaceae.